GACGAUUAGAGUUUGAUCCUGGCUCAGAUUGAACGCUGGCGGCAGGCUUAACACAUGCAAGUCGAGCGGAGAGAGGUAGCUUGCUACUGAUCUUAGCGGCGGACGGGUGAGUAAUGCUUAGGAAUCUGCCUAUUAGUGGGGGACAACAUUUCGAAAGGAAUGCUAAUACCGCAUACGUCCUACGGGAGAAAGCAGGGGAUCUUCGGACCUUGCGCUAAUAGAUGAGCCUAAGUCGGAUUAGCUAGUUGGUGGGGUAAAGGCCUACCAAGGCGACGAUCUGUAGCGGGUCUGAGAGGAUGAUCCGCCACACUGGGACUGAGACACGGCCCAGACUCCUACGGGAGGCAGCAGUGGGGAAUAUUGGACAAUGGGCGCAAGCCUGAUCCAGCCAUGCCGCGUGUGUGAAGAAGGCCUUAUGGUUGUAAAGCACUUUAAGCGAGGAGGAGGCUACUUUAGUUAAUACCUAGAGAUAGUGGACGUUACUCGCAGAAUAAGCACCGGCUAACUCUGUGCCAGCAGCCGCGGUAAUACAGAGGGUGCAAGCGUUAAUCGGAUUUACUGGGCGUAAAGCGCGCGUAGGCGGCUAAUUAAGUCAAAUGUGAAAUCCCCGAGCUUAACUUGGGAAUUGCAUUCGAUACUGGUUAGCUAGAGUGUGGGAGAGGAUGGUAGAAUUCCAGGUGUAGCGGUGAAAUGCGUAGAGAUCUGGAGGAAUACCGAUGGCGAAGGCAGCCAUCUGGCCUAACACUGACGCUGAGGUGCGAAAGCAUGG
This 769-nucleotide ribosomal RNA is filed under the name Acinetobacter calcoaceticus. Its description in RNAcentral is "bacterial SSU rRNA". It matches the Rfam family "Bacterial small subunit ribosomal RNA", at positions 1 to 764 of the family's 1533-position model. The record is from RNAcentral. Lineage: Bacteria; Pseudomonadati; Pseudomonadota; Gammaproteobacteria; Moraxellales; Moraxellaceae.